CCUACGGGUGGCUGCAGUGGGGAAUAUUGGGCAAUGGGCGCAAGCCUGACCCAGCAACGCCGCGUGAAGGAAGAAGGCUUUCGGUUGGUAAGCUUCUUUUCUCAGGGACGAAGAAAGUGACGGUACCUGAGGAAUGAGCCACGGCGAACUACGUGCCAGCAGCCGCGGUAAUACGUAGGUGGCAAGCGUUAUCCGGAUUUAUUGGGUGUAAAGGGCGUGUAGGCGGGGGCGCAAGUCAGAGGUGAAAACUCAGGGCUCAACCUUGAGCCUGCAGUUGAAACUGUGUGUCUUGAGUGCUGGAGAGGCAAUCGGAAUUCCGGGUGUAGCGGUGAAAUGCGUAGAUAUACGGAGGAACACCAGUGGCGAAGGCGGAUUGCUGGACAGUAACUGACGCUGAGGCGCGAAAGCGUGGGGAGCAAACAGGAUUAGAUACCCUUGUAGUC
Molecule: ribosomal RNA, 443 nt
Filed under: uncultured bacterium
Lineage: Bacteria
Description: partial 16S ribosomal RNA
Rfam family: Bacterial small subunit ribosomal RNA
Source: RNAcentral